This 458-nucleotide ribosomal RNA is filed under the name uncultured bacterium. Its description in RNAcentral is "partial 16S ribosomal RNA". It matches the Rfam family "Bacterial small subunit ribosomal RNA", at positions 339 to 795 of the family's 1533-position model. The record is from RNAcentral.
CUACGGGACGCUGCAGUAAGGAAUAUUGGUCAAUGGGCGCGAGCCUGAACCAGCCAUCCCGCGUGCAGGAUGACGGCCCUAUGGGUUGUAAACUGCUUUUCUAUGCCAAGAAACCUGAUUACGUGUAAUCAGUUGCCGGUAGCAUAGGAAUAAGCAUCGGCUAACUCCGUGCCAGCAGCCGCGGUAAUACGGAGGAUGCAGCGUUAUCCGGAUUCAUUGGGUUUAAAGGGUGCGCAGGUGGGCUUUUAAGUCAGUGGUGAAAUGCUGCCGCUUAACGGUAGAACUGCCAUUGAUACUGCGAGUCUUGAGUAUGGUUGAGGUAGGCGGAAUGUGUUGUGUAGCGGUGAAAUGCAUAGAUAUGACACAGAACGCCAAUUGCGAAGGCAGCUUACUAAGCCAUUACUGACGCUGAGGCACGAAAGCGUGGGGAGCGAACAGGAUUAGAUACCCCCGUAGUC